Stegostoma tigrinum is the source of this 2535-nucleotide long non-coding RNA. RefSeq lists it as uncharacterized. The record is from RefSeq and is a predicted model, not a curated record. Lineage: Eukaryota; Metazoa; Chordata; Chondrichthyes; Orectolobiformes; Stegostomatidae. The transcript has 2 exons.
UCGUGAUACAAGGCUCCCGUUCUGGGAUGAAGAGAGGGCGGGGUUUAGUGGGAUGGGCGGGGAAGGAUAGGCCGACCUUCGACGUUAUGGGUGGAGUAGUGUUGGGCGUGGCUAGUGCGGGUAGGGAUGCAGCACUGAGCAAUAGUCAGCGGUCGCAUCGCCCCAUAUUGGCGGCCGUGGCGAGAGCUGGUUUUCAGAUUUGUAAAGCUGAAAUGCUCUGUGAUUUGGGCAAAGCGUUCAACAAGCAACUGGAUAUUCUUCAGAAGUGAUGAAGGCUUUGAUGUUGGCAAACAAGAGUUUCCUCGGUAGCAACUGUCUGAUCUUAAAAAAGGCUAAAAUAAAACCAAAAACUGUGAAUGCUGGAAACCUAAAACAAAAACAGAAAUUGCUAGUGAAACUCAGCAACAUCUAUGUUCUAUACAUAAAAUGACCCUGAGCUUCCUGCUACCUGCCACUUCAACACACCAGCAUGCUCCUUGACGAACAUUUGUGUCUUAGGCUUGCUGCAGUGCUCCAGCAAAACUCAGCACAAGCCACAAGAACAGCACUUCAUAUUCCGCUUGGGAACCCUGCAGUCUUCAGGACUCCAGCAGGGAAUUCAAUAAUUUUGGGGCCUGAGUACUUUCUUCCAUGUCCUUUACCCACCUCCACACUCCAGGCCUUGUCAUUGCUGUUUUCAGCAAGCAAACCCAUUUUCACUGAUUUAUUGUCCCUAUUAUCAGCUUUAUUUGUUCCCUGGCACACCAUUAUCCACCUUUCUCUCCAUCUGGGCUCUGUCUCCACCUAUUCUCUCAGUCCUUUACCCCCACACACUGUUUUCAGCAUAUAUGUCAUCUAUUCCUUGCUACUACUUGUGGUGAUGAAGGGUCACUGAGCCUGCAACGUUGACUCUGCCUGCUCUCCAUGCUGUCAGACCUGCUGAGUUUCUCCAUCAAGUUCUGUUUUUGUUUGAUCUUUGUACCUUGGGCCUUUGAAGAUUGAACAGAUUGCUGUCUAUCCUGAAUUGAAUAUGUACUCCUGUGUCAGAAUCUUUGGGUGCAUGCAAAGCAUAGCCUGAAAAAGUAGAUGGCGAACAGAACAGGAGCCAUUACAUAGCUUUGCUUGGUGCCAGAAAAGACAGCUGAUAAGGCACCAUCAUGUAUCACCCAUACCAUCAUGAAAUGAGUGAAUGGCCCUGCUGAUUUUUUUCACAGAAGCCAUGUUUAGACCUUCAACAGGCCUUUAAUGUUUAUUGACUCAAAAGAAUUGGUGAGCUUAAUGAAUAUCAUGAUAACAUGGAGGCAAUUGUUUUACACAUAGCAUUGUUCACGUGUAACGUGAAUUUCCUGAGGGUGAUUUCCAGUAUUUUUCUAUUUACUAGUCGCUGAAGUUUGCUGACACAUGAUCUGAAUUUCAGAUCUAGAUCAGAAGUCCAUAUAAACAGGUAAAGUUGUAAUUAUUUUCAGCAAUAAAGUAGACUAAAUUGAUCUACUUUCCAAACCAGAGUGAAUGGAAUUGUGUAAUUCCACUCUUGACGAGACCCAGACUCUAUUCUAAAGAAUUUGAGAAAAAUACACUUGGCUAAAUUUUCUAAAUGUAUAUCCUCAAUGCAGAGCUUCACCUGACUAAAACACUGAUCAGGAAAAUAUGAGCAAAUAAUUCUCAGUUUGGAUAAAAGAGGAUUAUUGGGAACAUGCACACAACUCUUGAGGCAUUUCAGCUGCAUAUCCUCAGCCACCAAACGAUGACAAUUAGAAAUGUUAUUUAUUGUGUUAUUCUAUUAGGUUCUCCCAAUUUUCUGACCAACAUUUAUCUUUCAACCCAAGCCUAAAACAGAUUUCCUGCUCAUCUGUUUGGUUGCUGUUUGUGGGAAGUAUAUGCAUUGAAUACUGUGUUUUCUACAUUACAACAAUGAUUAAAGUUAAAAAUAGUUCAUUGAUAUGAAGAACUGUGGGAAGUACCGAGGAUCUGAAAGAUGCUGCAUAAAUAAGCCUACUUGAAGGAGAAUUUUUAAAAGUUUAUCAUAUUCUUGGUGUGCACUCUAAAACUGCAUUUUCAAUAUUUUCAAAUCCAACUACAGGUUCUAAAGAUGUUUUUAAAAAAUAACAAAUUUUCCUUAUUGUGCUGCCUCUGGAUUAAAAGGCAUCAUUACAAAACGAAUAAUCAACAUCCUCAAUCAAUACUCACUGUUAUUGAAGAUGUUACCUACCUAAUUCAUAUACAGUGUAGAGUGCUGUUUUGAACUGAACGUGUAGAAAGGCACUGAGAUAAUUCAAUACAAAUAAAACAAAAGCGUCACUACAAUUGCCCCCCAGGAGGAGAGGAACAAUGGCCCAUUGAAAGAGCUGUAUACAAAAUUUUAAAAAAUACUCAUAAUCCAUUUUGCACAAAUAAUAUAGUUGAGCUCCUGCAGUGCCCAUGAUUCAAUAGUUUUCUGUUCCAAUCUAGGCUCAGUGUUCUUUUUGCUUAUGUACUUUAGUUUCAAUUAUUUCUUUGUCAAUGUGUGUAUUUAGCUUUCUUACUCAUGAUCAAAGAAUAAACAACUUUCACUGACAA